AAAGAUAAGUUGGGGAGAACGAAAAUGAGAAUCGGUAGGUGCCACAACUCUUGAAUAACCGAGCAAGCAUUGAAAAAAAAUAUUAGAAAAGAGAAACAUCUGUUUUGUGAAUAUGAUGUGAAAAAAAAAUAAAGAAAAUGAAAAUGAAUGCUUGCUUGGAAGAAAAAUAGUGAAAAACAAAAUUGAGCUGUGAAAUAAGAGUUGUGAAGGUUUCAAAUGAGAAACAAGUGGAACGAAGUUGAGAU
RNAcentral lists this long non-coding RNA (245 nucleotides) under Lathyrus oleraceus (garden pea). RNAcentral describes it as "Pisum sativum (pea) long non-coding RNA (PSAT_LNC012632)". The record is from RNAcentral. Lineage: Eukaryota; Viridiplantae; Streptophyta; Magnoliopsida; Fabales; Fabaceae.